This 809-nucleotide ribosomal RNA is filed under the name uncultured Granulicatella sp. RNAcentral's name for it is "bacterial SSU rRNA". It matches the Rfam family "Bacterial small subunit ribosomal RNA", at positions 68 to 857 of the family's 1533-position model. The record is from RNAcentral. Lineage: Bacteria; Bacillati; Bacillota; Bacilli; Lactobacillales; Carnobacteriaceae.
GAGAGCGACCGGUGCUUGCACUGGUCAAUCUAGUGGCGAACGGGUGAGUAACACGUGGGUAACCUGCCCAUCAGAGGGGGAUAACAUUCGGAAACGGAUGCUAAAACCGCAUAGGUCUUCGAACCGCAUGGUUUGAAGAGGAAAAGAGGCGCAAGCUUCUGCUGAUGGAUGGACCCGCGGUGCAUUAGCUAGUUGGUGAGGUAACGGCUCACCAAGGCCGUGAUGCAUAGCCGACCUGAGAGGGUGAUCGGCCACAUUGGGACUGAGACACGGCCCAAACUCCUACGGGAGGCAGCAGUUGGGAAUCUUCCGCAAUGGACGCAAGUCUGACGGAGCAACGCCGCGCGAGUCAAGAAGGUUUUCGGAUCGUAAAACUCUGUUGUUAGAGAAGAACAAGUGCUAGAGUCACUGUUAGCGCCUUGACGGUAUCUAACCAGAAAGCCACGGCUAACUACGUGCCAGCAGCCGCGGUAAUACGUAGGUGGCAAGCGUUGUCCGGAUUUAUUGGGCGUAAAGCGAGCGCAGGCGGUUCCUUAAGUCUGAUGUGAAACCCCCCGCCUCAACCGGGGAGGGUCAUUGGAAACUGGGGAACUUGAGUGCAGAAGAGGAGAGUGGAAUUCCAUGUGUAGCGGUGAAAUGCGUAGAUAUAUGGAGGAACACCAGUGGCGAAGGCGACUCUCUGGUCUGUAACUGACGCUGAGGCUCGAAAGCGUGGGUAGCAAACAGGAUUAGAUACCCUGGUAGUCCACGCCGUAAACGAUGAGUGCUAAGUGUUGGAGGGUUUCCGCCCUUCAGUGCUGCAGUUAACG